GAUGAACAGUUGGAGAGUAGUGUGUCGUCACCACCUCCUUAUGAACUCCCAUCGUCAUCGAGGGUUAAGCAAGUCACUGUGACCUCUACAGAGAAGAAAUGCCCCUGAGAUGCACUCUCAUUUGGAAAGAUUCUAAAAAAUACGGUUUGGAACUUCCGGGUUUGCCCCAGCCAUGUGCAGUCCUGUGUUUGUGCUUCUCUCCUCCAUGCUAGGAACCUCCACCUUGACUCCCUAUUUCUAGCAAAGAGAAGGACGGCUGCUGCCUUCCAUGAAAGGCAUUCUAUAUCAGAGAGGGGCACGGAGGAAAGGGAAUAAAACAAAAGUGAAGUCAAUUUGCAUUCA
Symphalangus syndactylus (siamang) is the source of this 342-nucleotide long non-coding RNA. RefSeq lists it as uncharacterized. NCBI's taxonomy places the organism in Eukaryota, Metazoa, Chordata, Mammalia, Primates, Hylobatidae. The record is from RefSeq and is a predicted model, not a curated record.